UAACGAAUCUUCCCCAAUGCACGAAAGUGUGAGGGAGCGACGCCGCGUGGAGGAUGAAGUCCUUCGGGAUGUAAACUCCUGUCAGGGGUUAGAAAGUUCUGAUCAACCCCAGAGGAAGUGGCGGCUAACUCUGUGCCAGCAGCCGCGGUAAGACAGAGGCCACAAGCGUUAGGCGGAAUCACUGGGCUUAAGGCGUGUGUAGGCGGACCGUUAAGUGCUGUGUGAAAUCCCCCGGCUCAACCGGGGAAUGGCUGGGCAUACUGGCGGUCUUGAGCUGCCUAGGGGUCACUGGAACAAACGGUGGAGCGGUGAAAUGCGUAGAUAUCGGGUGGAACGCCCAAGGUGAAGACAGGUGACUGGGGGCAAGCUGACGCUGAGACACGAAAGCCAGGGGAGCAAACG
Molecule: ribosomal RNA, 402 nt
Filed under: uncultured prokaryote
Description: bacterial SSU rRNA
Rfam family: Bacterial small subunit ribosomal RNA
Source: RNAcentral